UCUCCGUAGGUGAACCUGCGGAGGGAUCAUUAAGAAUUGAACAGCAGUGUCUGGCACUGCUGCCCAUUCUAACCCUUUGUGAACUACAACUCUGUUGCUUCGGGGGCGACCCUGCCGUUUCGACGGCGAGCGCCCCCGAAGGUCUCCAAACACUGCAUCUCUGCGUCGGAGUUUAAUACAAAUGAAACAAAACUUUCAACAACGGAUCUCUUGGUUCUGGCAUCGAUGAAGAACGCAGC
This 239-nucleotide unclassified non-coding RNA is filed under the name uncultured fungus. RNAcentral's name for it is "sequence contains ITS1, 5.8S rRNA gene". The stretch from base 191 to 239 matches the Rfam family "5.8S ribosomal RNA", at positions 1 to 49 of the family's 154-position model. Lineage: Eukaryota; Fungi. The record is from RNAcentral.